Molecule: ribosomal RNA, 763 nt
Filed under: uncultured Streptococcus sp.
Lineage: Bacteria; Bacillati; Bacillota; Bacilli; Lactobacillales; Streptococcaceae
Description: bacterial SSU rRNA
Rfam family: Bacterial small subunit ribosomal RNA
Source: RNAcentral
GUGCCUAAAUACAUGCAAGUAGAACGCACAGGAUGCACCCGUAGUUUUACUUCACCGUAUUCUUUUGAGAUGCGAACGGGUGAGUAAAGGGGUAGGUAACCUGCCUGGUAGCGGGGGAUAACUAUUGGAAACGAUAGCUAAUACCGCAUAAGAACAUUUACCUGCAUGGUAGAUGUUUAAAAGGUGCAAGAGCAUCACUACCAGAUGGACCUGCGUUGUAUUAGCUAGUUGGUGAGGUAACGGCUCACCAAGGCAACGAUACAUAGCCGACCUGAGAGGGUGAUCGGCCACACUGGGACUGAGACACGGCCCAGACUCCUACGGGAGGCAGCAGUAGGGAAUCUUCGGCAAUGGGGGAAACCCUGACCGAGCAACGCCGCGUGAGUGAAGAAGGUUUUCGGAUCGUAAAGCUCUGUUGUUAAGGAAGAACGUGUGUGAGAGUGGAAAGUUCACACAGUGACGGUACUUAACCAGAAAGGGACGGCUAACUACGUGCCAGCAGCCGCGGUAAUACGUAGGUCUCGAGCGUUGUCCGGAUUUAUUGGGCGUAAAGCGAGCGCAGGCGGUUAGAUAAGUCUGAAGUGAAAGGCAGUGGCUCAACCAUUGUAGGCUUUGGAAACUGUUUAACUUGAGUGCAGAAGGGGAGAGUGGAAUUCCAUGUGUAGCGGUGAAAUGCGUAGAUAUAUGGAGGAACACCGGUGGCGAAAGCGGCUCUCUGGUCUGUAACUGACGCUGAGGCUCGAAAGCGUGGGGAGCGAACAGG